GAAAAUGAAACACUUUUGCCACCUCCUCGUUAGCUCGGAGUCCCAGAAAAUCCUGAGAAAUUUUUAGAAAAUCCUGGUGAUGUCACAAUCUCUUGGAACUUAUAGCAGCCUGGGUCCCUGAAUGAUGGUGUGGAGCAGAGCCCCAGGCCCAACAGCGGUGGAUAUGGAGAUGAGUAAGAAUUGCAUGCAGAGAAAAGCUGUAUGAGGAUGCAGCGAGAAGGUGACCAUGUGCGAGCCAGGAAGAGAGGUCUUCCCUGAAACCAACCCUGAUGGCACCUUGAUCUUGGACUUCUGGC
Neogale vison (American mink) is the source of this 296-nucleotide long non-coding RNA. RefSeq lists it as uncharacterized. NCBI's taxonomy places the organism in Eukaryota, Metazoa, Chordata, Mammalia, Carnivora, Mustelidae. The record is from RefSeq and is a predicted model, not a curated record. The transcript has 3 exons.